This 429-nucleotide ribosomal RNA is filed under the name Bacteroidota bacterium. RNAcentral describes it as "Bacteroidetes bacterium partial 16S ribosomal RNA". It matches the Rfam family "Bacterial small subunit ribosomal RNA", at positions 355 to 776 of the family's 1533-position model. Lineage: Bacteria; Pseudomonadati; Bacteroidota. The record is from RNAcentral.
UAGGGAAUCUUCCGCAAUGGACGCAAGUCUGACGGAGCAACGCCGCGUGAGUGAAGAAGGAUUUCGGUUCGUAAAACUCUGUUGUUAGAGAAGAACAGCGCAUAGAGUAACUGUUAUGCGUGUGACGGUAUCUAACCAGAAAGCCACGGCUAACUACGUGCCAGCAGCCGCGGUAAUACGUAGGUGGCAAGCGUUGUCCGGAUUUAUUGGGCGUAAAGCGAGCGCAGGCGGUCAAUUAAGUCUGAUGUGAAAGCCCCCGGCUCAACCGAGAAGGGUCAUUGGAAACUGGUUGACUUGAGUGCAGAAGAGGAGAGUGGAAUUCCAUGUGUAGCGGUGAAAUGCGUAGAUAUAUGGAGGAACACCAGUGACGAAGGCGACUCUCUGGUCUGUAACUGACGCUGAAGCUCGAAAGCGUGGGUAGCAAACAGG